AUUGAACGCUGGCGGAAUGCUUUACACAUGCAAGUCGAACGGCAGCACGGACUUCGGUCUGGUGGCGAGUGGCGAACGGGUGAGUAAUGUAUCGGAACGUGCCCAGUCGUGGGGGAUAACGUAGUGAAAAUUACGCUAAUACCGCACACGAUCUAUGGAUGAAAGCGGGGGAUCGCAAGACCUCGCGCGAUUGGAGCGGCCGAUAUCAGAUUAGGUAGUUGGUGGGGUAAAGGCCCACCAAGCCAACGAUCUGUAGCUGGUCUGAGAGGACGACCAGCCACACUGGAACUGAGACACGGUCCAGACUCCUACGGGAGGCAGCAGUGGGGAAUUUUGGACAAUGGGCGAAAGCCUGAUCCUGCCAUUCCGCGUGCAGGAUGAAGGCCCUCGGGUUGUAAACUGCUUUUGUACAGAACGAAAAGGUUUCUACUAAUACUAGGAGCUCAUGACGGUACUGUAAGAAUAAGCACCGGCUAACUACGUGCCAGCCGCCGCGGUAA
Molecule: ribosomal RNA, 500 nt
Filed under: uncultured bacterium
Lineage: Bacteria
Description: partial 16S ribosomal RNA
Rfam family: Bacterial small subunit ribosomal RNA
Source: RNAcentral